RNAcentral lists this ribosomal RNA (121 nucleotides) under Olea europaea subsp. europaea. RNAcentral's name for it is "Bacterial small subunit ribosomal RNA". It matches the Rfam family "Bacterial small subunit ribosomal RNA", at positions 1058 to 1182 of the family's 1533-position model. Lineage: Eukaryota; Viridiplantae; Streptophyta; Magnoliopsida; Lamiales; Oleaceae. The record is from Rfam by way of RNAcentral.
GCCCACCGUAAGGUGUUGGGUUAAGUCUUGCAACGAGCGCAACCCUCUUGUUUAGUUGUCAUCUUUAAGUUUGGAACCCUGAAUAGACUGUCGGUGAUAAGUUGGAGAAAAGUGAGGGUGA